This 699-nucleotide long non-coding RNA is filed under the name Volvox carteri. RNAcentral describes it as "long non-coding RNA (VCAR_LNC004332)". The record is from RNAcentral. Lineage: Eukaryota; Viridiplantae; Chlorophyta; Chlorophyceae; Chlamydomonadales; Volvocaceae.
UUAUUAAGGGGAUGGAAACCAAAGAAGACUUCCCCUUCUUGUUCUUCUUCUUCUUCUUCCCCUUUAGUGUUCCCCAAAGGGGAGACGAAGGGGUGUUCCCGUUCUUCAUCCCNUACGGGGAACUAAAGGGGACGGAGUCCCCUUUAGUUCAUCCCCUUUAGGGGAACUAAAGGGGAUGAAGAAGGGGUUCCCCUUUGGGGAAGAACUCUUCCCCUUCGUCUUCCCCUUUGGUUCCCCUAAAGGGGACGAACCCCUUCUUCAUCCCCUAAAGGGGAACCGUAGGGGAGUUCUUCCCCGAAGGGGAACCCCUUCGGUUCCCCUAAAGGGGACGAGCACCCCUUUGGUUCAUCCCCUUUAGGGGAACUAAAGAAGACGAACUAAAGAAGACGAACACUAACGGGGAAGAAGAAGAAGAAGACUUUGGGGGAUGACGGAUGACAAGGGGAACCAAAGGGGUUGUCCCUACUUGUUCUUUAUUUUAUGAAAACCGAAGUGAUCCCCUAGGGGACCGAAGGGUAAUCCCUUGUCAUUACCUUUAGUUCAUCCCCUAAAGGGUUUCCAAAGUUUGUUCCCCUUUAGGGGAAGACAACCCCGAAGGGGCACGCUGUAAUUUUGUAGUUUCGGCCGGAGGCCUAUAACUUACUGUAAGGUAUCCAACGAACUUACUUUACAACGACGGACAAAGCUCGAAGAUAUUUU